AUGCUGAAAGGUGGCACUUUCAGAAAAGGAGGUGGAAAGGACAGAUUUUGUCAGAGUCGAUGAGAACAAGAAACUGCUGAACUUCCUUMUUUGGGACAACUCAGCUUUUCUACUGUGAAUCCCCAAUUAAGAUUGAAGAAAGUGUUGCGGAUUUGUCAUCCUAUUAAAUCUGUAUCACUACCGUCUUUCAUCCUGCUCUCAGC
RNAcentral lists this long non-coding RNA (203 nucleotides) under Dromaius novaehollandiae (emu). Its description in RNAcentral is "lncRNA (ENSDNVG00000010213.1)". The record is from RNAcentral. Lineage: Eukaryota; Metazoa; Chordata; Aves; Casuariiformes; Dromaiidae.